Molecule: ribosomal RNA, 490 nt
Filed under: uncultured bacterium
Lineage: Bacteria
Description: partial 16S ribosomal RNA
Rfam family: Bacterial small subunit ribosomal RNA
Source: RNAcentral
AUUGAACGCUGGCGGCAUGCUUUACACAUGCAAGUCGGACGGCAGCACAGAGAAGCUUGCUUCUUGGGUGGCGAGUGGCGAACGGGUGAGUAAUAUAUCGGAACGUACCGAGUAAUGGGGGAUAACUAAUCGAAAGAUUAGCUAAUACCGCAUAUUCUCUGAGGAGGAAAGCAGGGGACCUUCGGGCCUUGCGUUAUUCGAGCGGCCGAUAACUGAUUAGCUAGUUGGUGGGGUAAAGGCCUACCAAGGCGACGAUCAGUAGCGGGUCUGAGAGGAUGAUCCGCCACACUGGGACUGAGACACGGCCCAGACUCCUACGGGAGGCAGCAGUGGGGAAUUUUGGACAAUGGGCGCAAGCCUGAUCCAGCCAUGCCGCGUGUCUGAAGAAGGCCUUCGGGUUGUAAAGGACUUUUGUCAGGGAAGAAAAGGCUGUUGCUAAUACCGACAGCUGAUGACGGUACCUGAAGAAUAAGCACCGGCUAACUACGUG